ACCAUUCGUCCGGAGACAGUACUGUCGAAUAUAUUUUCUUUCAAAUGAUGAUCUUAUGGAAAACAUGAAAGUCCACUUAUUUUAUGAUAGAGAUUAGAGAAGUUAACUUAACGUAAGAUUAAAGCCCAGGGUGCGUGUGUGAGAGAGAGGUAUGGUUACGGUUAAUUUACUUUGAUUCUUGUUGGUACAUUAUAUCAUUUCUACAGAGUUUAGAGAGCGAUCCAAAUAUGUGUUAAUAAUCUCACAAUUUUAAAUUAAAAAAAUAAAUAAAUAAAGUCGUUCUAACAUAUAACUACAAAAUUUAAUAAUUUGUUUUAAGACAUAUAUAAAGGCCACAAAAUUUCAUAAAAAAAUUAAAAAUAUAUAACAUUACUUUGAGUUUAAAAUGGCAACAGCGAUUCAACAUUAUCUUUAUCUUUGAUAGUUUAGUUAAAUACGUUACCACGCAAGGUUAUGAUAUCGCGAUGUAUUAUUAGUCAACAUUAGAGAAAAUGUUAUAAACUAUGCAGAAAAUAUCAAAGCACAAUGCAUAGACUUUUCUUAGAUCUUUUGUCGUCAAGUUCUUAUUAAUUAUAGCAAUACAUUGUCAACAAAA
RNAcentral lists this long non-coding RNA (595 nucleotides) under Brassica napus (rape). RNAcentral describes it as "long non-coding RNA (BNAP_LNC004586)". The record is from RNAcentral. Lineage: Eukaryota; Viridiplantae; Streptophyta; Magnoliopsida; Brassicales; Brassicaceae.